Molecule: ribosomal RNA, 490 nt
Filed under: uncultured bacterium
Lineage: Bacteria
Description: partial 16S ribosomal RNA
Rfam family: Bacterial small subunit ribosomal RNA
Source: RNAcentral
AUUGAACGCUGGCGGCAGGCCUAACACAUGCAAGUCGAACGGAAACAGGAAGCAGUUUGCUGCUUCGCGGACGAGUGGCGGGCGGGUGAGAAAUGUCGGGGAAACUGCUUGAUGGAGGGGGAUAACUACUGGAAACGGUACCAAAUACCGCAUAACGUCGCAAGCCCAAAGAGGGAGACCUUAGGGCCUCUUGCCUUUCGCUUUUCCCAGGUGGGAUUAGCUAGUAGGUAGGGUAACGGCUCACCAAGGCGACGAUCCGUAGCUGGUCUGAGAGGGUGAUCGGCCACACUGGAACUGAGACACGGUCCAGACUCCUACGGGAGGCAGCAGUGGGGAAUAUUGCGCAAUGGGCGCAAGCCUGAUGCAGCAAUGCCGCGUGUAUGAAGAAGGCCUUCGGAUUGUAAAGUACUUUUAGCGGGGAGGAAGAGAGUAAAGAUAAUACCUUUACUCAUUGACGUUACCCGAAGAAGAAGCACCGGCUAACUCCGUG